ACAAGGGCGCAAGGUGAAUGCCUUGGCACUAGGAGCCGAUGAAGGACGCGACGAACAGCGAUAUGCUUCGGGGAGCCGUAAGUAGGCAGCGAUCCGGAGAUUUCCGAAUGGGGCAACCCACCGGCCGGAAGGGUCGGUAUCAGCCUUUGGCUGAAGGUAUACGCGGCGAACUGAAACAUCUCAGUAGCCGUAGGAAAAGAAAGCAAUAGCGAUUCCCUUAGUAGCGGCGAGCGAAACGGGAACAGCCCGAGUUCAGCAUCUGAGUUACAAAACACCAAGAUAGCCGAAACUGCCUGGAACGGCAUGCCACAGGGGGUGAGAGCCCCGUAGGCGAAAUCUUGGUGUCUCAGCUGGACGAAGAGUACGGCGGAACACGAGUAAUUCUGCCGGAACAUGCGAGAACCAUCUCGUAAGGCUAAAUACUCCCUAGUGACCGAUAGUGGACCAGUACCGUGAGGGAAAGGUGAAAAGAACCGCGGGAGCGGAGUGAAAGAGAACCUGAAACCUUGUGCCUACAAGAAGUCAGAGCCCGUUAAUGGGUGAUGGCGUGCCUUUUGUAGAAUGAACCGGCGAGUUACGGCGGCAUGCGAGGUUAAGCCUGGAAGGGUGGAGCCGCAGCGAAAGCGAGUCCGAAUAGGGCGUCGAGUCUGUCGUCGUAGACCCGAAACCGAGUGAUCUAGCCAUGGGCAGGCUGAAGUUGGGGUAAAACCCAAUGGAGGGCCGAACCGGGAGAUGUUGAAAAAUCUUCGGAUGACCUGUGGCUAGCGGUGAAAUGCCAAUCGAACUCGGAGAUAGCUGGUUCUCACCGAAAUAGCUUUCGGGCUAGCGUCAAUGUGAGUGCUGCGGAGGUAGAGCACUGAAUGGUUGAAGGUCCCGUCAAGGGAUACUGAUAUCAAUCAAACUCCGAAUGCCGCACGCACGUCAUUGGCAGUCAGACUGUGGGUGAUAAGGUCCAUAGUCGAGAGGGAAACAGCCCAGACCGCCAGUUAAGGUCCCUAAAUCCAUGUUGAGUGGGGAAGGAUGUGGAGUCGCUUAGACAACUAGGAGGUUGGCUUAGAAGCAGCCAUCCUUUAAAGAGUGCGUAACAGCCCACUAGUCGAGUGACUCUGCGCCGAAAAUGUACCGGGGCUAAACAUGGUACCGAAACUGCGGAUUCGUAAGAAUGGUAGGUGAGCGUUGUCUUCUGUGGCGAAGCCAGACCGUGAGGACUGGUGGAACGUAGACAAGCGAGAAUGCCGGUGUGAGUAACGAAAAGUAAGGUGAGAAUCCUUACCGUCUAAAGUCUAAGGUUUCCAGAGGAAGGCUCGUCCGCUCUGGGUUAGUCGGGACCUAAGGUGAGGCUGAAAAGCGUAGCCGAUGGAUAACAGGUUGAUAUUCCUGUACCGCCUAGCAAGCCGAAGGAGUGACGAAGAAGGAUAACGGGAGCUGGCCAGUGGAUACGGUCAGUUCAAGCGUCGAGGCCGCGGCAUAGGAAAAUCCGUGCCGCACAAGGCUGGGGCGUGACGACGAAAGUCCCGCGAUUUCAUGCUUCCAAGAAAAGCUUCUACGAUCACUUGUUAGGUGCCCGUACCGCAAACCGACACAGGUAGACGAGGAGAGAAUCUCAAGACGCGCGAGAGAACUCUUGCCAAGGAACUCGGCAAAAUGGCCCCGUAACUUCGGGAGAAGGGGAGCUCCGCUUCGGCGGAGCCGCAGAGAAUAGGCCAGUGCGACUGUUUAUCAAAAACACAGCUCUAUGCUAAAUCGUGAGAUGAUGUAUAUGGGGUGACGCCUGCCCGGUGCUGGAAGGUCAAGGGGAAGGAUUAGGCUUCGGCCAACGUCCUGAACCGAAGCCCCAGUAAACGGCGGCCGUAACUAUAACGGUCCUAAGGUAGCGAAAUUCCUCGUCGGGUAAGUUCCGACCCGCACGAAAGGCGCAACGAUGCUGGCACUGUCUCGGCAAGAGACUCGGUGAAAUCUUGGUACCUGUAAAGACGCAGGUUGCCCGCGACAGGACGGAAAGACCCCGUGGAGCUUUACUGUAGCUUGACAUUGGUAAUGGGUGUCCAUUGUACAGGAUAGGUGGGAGGCUUUGAAGCCGGGACGCUAGUUUCGGUGGAGCCAUCCUUGGGAUACCACCCUUUGGACAUUCGUUAUCUAACCCGCCGGUUUGUAGCCGGGGGGACAGUGUCUGGUAGGCAGUUUGACUGGGGCGGUCGCCUCCUAAAAAGUAACGGAGGCGCACAAAGGUUCCCUCAGAAUGGUCGGCAAUCAUUCAUAGAGUGUAAAGGCAGAAGGGAGCUUGACUGCGAGACGUACAUGUCGAGCAGGUACGAAAGUAGGUCUUAGUGAACUGGCAGUACUGAAUGGAAAGGCUGUCAAUCAACGGAUAAAAGUUACCCCGGGGAUAACAGGCUAAUUCCUCCCAAGAGUUCACAUCGACGGAGGAGUUUGGCACCUCGAUGUCGGCUCAUCACAUCCUGGAGCUGGAACCAGUUCCAAGGGUUGGGCUGUUCGCCCAUUAAAGUGGUACGCGAGCUGGGUUCAGAACGUCGUGAGACAGUUCGGUCCCUAUCCGUCGUGGGCGUUGGGAAUUUGAGGAGAGCUAACCCUAGUACGAGAGGACCGGGUUGGACACACCGCUGGUGCACCAGUUGGGUUGCCAGACCCAUGGCUGGGUAGCUAUGUGUGGCAGGGAUAAACGCUGAAAGCAUCUAAGCGCGAAGCCCACUCCAAGAUGAGAUUCCCCAUCGCAAGAGUAAGAUCCCUUGUAGACUACGAGGUUGAUAGGCCAGAGGUGGAAGCGCGGUGACGUGUGAAGCUGACUGGUACUAAUCGAUCGAGGACUUAACUUU
RNAcentral lists this ribosomal RNA (2834 nucleotides) under Mollicutes bacterium. Its description in RNAcentral is "bacterial LSU rRNA". It matches the Rfam family "Bacterial large subunit ribosomal RNA". The record is from RNAcentral. Lineage: Bacteria; Bacillati; Mycoplasmatota; Mollicutes.